Molecule: ribosomal RNA, 253 nt
Filed under: uncultured bacterium
Lineage: Bacteria
Description: partial 16S ribosomal RNA
Rfam family: Bacterial small subunit ribosomal RNA
Source: RNAcentral
UACAGAGGGGGCGAGCGUUGUUCGGAAUUACUGGGCGUAAAGGGCGCGUAGGCGGCCAACUAAAUCAGACGUGAAAUCCCUCGGCUCAACCGGGGAACUGCGUCUGAUACUGGAUGGCUUGAAUUCGGGAGAGGGAUGCGGAAUUCCAGGUGUAGCGGUGAAAUGCGUAGAUAUCUGGAGGAACACCAAUGGCGAAGGCAGCUCGCUGGGACGUGACUGACGCUGAGACGCGAAAGCGUGGGGAGCAAACAGG